CCUGAUCCCUCAGGUUUAUUCACGGAAGCAACUAAACAUUUAUAUUUUAGGUAUUUUGAGGUUCUCCAAGACGUACAUCUUCCAUCGGCUUUUUAGGCGAGAACAUUCGGAACCUGAGGCAUCCAAGGAGCAGCCUGAGUAGGGAAAUUCUUCAGCCACUUUCAGAAUGACAACAAAGCCAGAAAAUACAGAUUUCAGGCACAAGAAUUCUUCACUCAGCGUAAGGCCACUAAUCUGGGAAAUAAUGUGUCCC
Molecule: long non-coding RNA, 253 nt
Organism: Balaenoptera acutorostrata (minke whale)
Lineage: Eukaryota; Metazoa; Chordata; Mammalia; Artiodactyla; Balaenopteridae
Exons: 3
Source: RefSeq, a predicted model, not a curated record